RNAcentral lists this small nuclear RNA (297 nucleotides) under Erinaceus europaeus (western European hedgehog). RNAcentral describes it as "7SK RNA". It matches the Rfam family "7SK RNA". Rfam says of the family: 7SK was discovered as an abundant small nuclear RNA in the mid-70s but a possible function has only recently been suggested. Two independent studies have found that 7SK RNA binds the CDK9/cyclin T complex (known as elongation factor P-TEFb). The record is from Rfam by way of RNAcentral. Lineage: Eukaryota; Metazoa; Chordata; Mammalia; Eulipotyphla; Erinaceidae.
GGAUGUGAGGGGACCCAUGACUGUAACAUCUGUCCCCUCUCCCCCCGUUGAUCGCCAGGGUUGAUUUCAACUGUCUAGGUGAGUGUCCCCUUCCUCCCUCACUCCAUGUACAGUCCCCCUUAAGUGUGUAAUGCUUGAUUGAAGAGUUUGACCUUCCUCAAGUAGAGAGUGGUCUUCGGUUGAGGGUAUGCAAGCAGCCAUGUCCUUCUGCUACAGCCUCCAGACAAGCUCUCAAGAAAACCCUUGUCAAUACCUCCAGGUUCUGGAGUCACACCAUGGGCGUCAGGUGGAAGCCUG